CAACAUCUAGUAACAAAAAACAUAUCAGUGGUUGUUGCUUGGGGAUGGGAAGGGAGAUGUGGAUUACCAAGAGAUACAAAGAAACUUUGGGAGGCAAUGGAUGUGUUUAUGACCGUAUCUGUGGUGAUGCUUUCAUCGAUAAAUAUAUAUAUACAUAUGUCAAAACUCAUUGAACUGCACUUCAAAAACUCAUGAAUUGGUGCAGGUUCAAUCCCUGGUCAGGAAGCUAAGAUCCUGCAUCCACCAUGGCCAAAAAAUCCAAAACAUAACAGAAGCAAUAGUGUAACAAAUUCAGUAAAGACUUUAAAAAUGGUCCACAUGAAGAAAUCUUUAAAAACAAGAGUCCCAGGCUUCUCAAACUCAGGGCAGUUGGAAACCACUGGUACCAAUUGGCUGAUAGCUAAGGAAAGAGACUUCCCUCAUCUUGACCAAAUCAUCAAGUGAAGCCAAAUGAAACCAUGACUAUCAACAUCCCAGGGAUAAACAAACCGAUGAUUUCCUAGUGUUUUACAUAAAUGCACGAUCCUUAAUCAGUAUAUGAUACAUGAGUGUCCCGCAAGGUUCUCAGCCUCUCACCAUUUUCUAUCAUUGGAUUAAUUGGGAUGAAAUCUGACAGGUGAUAAAGGCUCACCAUAGAAUCCACAUUAUUGCAAUUAUCCAAUCACGACCCUGUCUCCUAUAAAAGAAAUGCAAUGCUGUGCUCAAGGUUUCAUCUUGAGAUGUGUUUGCCUGUUCGUUGUUUGCCUGUUUGUUAUUAAGGAGAUUCAUUUAAUCAGAUAAGAUUCGUCAUGAUCCCAGCUACUCAAGCUCAUGGUCAGUGGACCUGGUUUCAAAGAAUAAAGCAAGAAUUCUGCAAGCCCAUCUGUUGGUUCCGUAUUGGAUUAAUAAUUAUGCUCCUCAAAAUUGCUGUGGUAGCCUUCUUCGGUAAUCAUUUACCUUUCUCCCUCUCAGUGACAAUAAUUGCUUCUGGCAUCGUUUUAUUCCUCAUUUCUGGAGGGAUACUCUUGUAUGGAUUAUGCCAAAACUCAGACUACACCUCUCUUGAACCAGAAGAAUUAGUGAGGUAUCAUCGAACUGCCCACAGUCAUCCUGAAGGUUUUGAAACAGAGGCAGCAACUAUCAGCACCUCGCUAUGAUGUAUAUUAAACCCAGAUAUCACUGGGUCUUUUAACCUUCUGAAAGUUCCUUGAGUAUAAUUAAAGUAGAAAUAAACUCUGACCUCUAAAAA
Long non-coding RNA from Bubalus bubalis (water buffalo), 1228 nucleotides. RefSeq lists it as uncharacterized. The record is from RefSeq and is a predicted model, not a curated record. The transcript is spliced from 2 exons. Lineage: Eukaryota; Metazoa; Chordata; Mammalia; Artiodactyla; Bovidae.